Molecule: ribosomal RNA, 255 nt
Filed under: uncultured bacterium
Lineage: Bacteria
Description: partial 16S ribosomal RNA
Rfam family: Archaeal small subunit ribosomal RNA
Source: RNAcentral
UACCAGCACCCCGAGUGGUCGGGACGUUUAUUGGGCCUAAAGCAUCCGUAGCCGGUUCUACAAGUCUUCCGUUAAAUCCAACUGCUUAACAGGUGGGCUGCGGAAGAUACUAUAGAGCUAGGAGGCGGGAGAGGCAAGCGGUACUCGAUGGGGUAGGGGUAAAAUCCGUUGAUCCAUUGAAGACCACCAGUGGCGAAGGCGGCUUGCCAGAACGCGCUCGACGGUGAGGGAUGAAAGCUGGGGGGAGCAAACCGG